CCGUCCGCAAUGUGAUGGGUUUGUUUGCCAGUUGCCGCUUAUGCAGAAGUAUGGCAAUUUGGUUUGUGAAAUUAUUCGGUGUUGUUAAUGUUAGUGCAAACCCGGUGAUAAGAAUAAUUCGGUCGGUCAUUUUCGUGGAAAGAAGACGGGAUUGUAGUGAUGACAAUAAGAACAUAUCCGAAGUCAUCUCGUGGACAGAUAUUCCAUAACUGUAACAACUCGUGAUGGCAACCGUAAAACUAUCGACGUAAUGAUUUCCACUUCACCAUUUUAACUUUUUCUUCAAUAGAUUCCUUGUAAGCAGCAAUUCUCCAUCAAGGAAACAUACUAGUAAUAUGAAAU
RNAcentral lists this long non-coding RNA (342 nucleotides) under Mytilus galloprovincialis (Mediterranean mussel). Lineage: Eukaryota; Metazoa; Mollusca; Bivalvia; Mytilida; Mytilidae. The record is from RNAcentral.